Molecule: ribosomal RNA, 498 nt
Filed under: uncultured Bacillota bacterium
Lineage: Bacteria; Bacillati; Bacillota
Description: bacterial SSU rRNA
Rfam family: Bacterial small subunit ribosomal RNA
Source: RNAcentral
UGGGGAAUAUUGCGCAAUGGGGGAAACCCUGACGCAGCAACGCCGCGUGAAGGAUGAAGGUUUUCGGAUUGUAAACUUCUUUGAUGGGGGAAGAAUAAAUGACGGUACCCCAAAAACAAGCCACGGCUAACUACGUGCCAGCAGCCGCGGUAAUACGUAGGUGGCGAGCGUUGUCCGGAAUUACUGGGUGUAAAGGGCGUGUAGGCGGGAUUGCAAGUCAGAUGUGAAAUUCCGAGGCUUAACCUCGGCGCUGCAUCUGAAACUGUAAUUCUUGAGUGUUGGAGAGGAUAGUGGUAUUCCUAGUGUAGCGGUGAAAUGCGUAGAUAUUAGGAGGAACACCAGUGGCGAAGGCGACUAUCUGGACAAUAACUGACGCUGAGGCGCGAAAGCGUGGGGAGCAAACAGGAUUAGAUACCCUGGUAGUCCACGCCGUAAACGAUGGAUACUAGGUGUAGGAGGUAUCGACCCCUUCUGUGCCGGAGUUAACACAAUAAGUAU